This 341-nucleotide ribosomal RNA is filed under the name uncultured bacterium. RNAcentral describes it as "bacterial SSU rRNA". It matches the Rfam family "Bacterial small subunit ribosomal RNA", at positions 12 to 295 of the family's 1533-position model. The record is from RNAcentral.
AUUGAUCAUGGCUCAGAGUGAACCGCUGGCGUUAUGCCUAACACAUGCAAGUCGAACGGCAGCACAGGAGAGCUUGCUCUCUGGGUGGCGAGUGGCGGACAGGGUGAGGAAUACAUCGGAAUCUACUCUGUCGUGGGGGAUAACUGUAUGUGGAAACUUACAGCUAAUACCGCAUACGACCUACAGGGUGAAAGCAAGGGAGACCAUUCUGUGAGCCUUGCGCGAAUUGAAUUGAAGCCGAUAGAUCGGGAAUUAGCUAGUAUGGCAGGAGGUAAACGUGCCCAACCAAAUGGACGAACUGAUUCCAGUACGACGUGGGUCAUGAUGAGAUGAUGAUUCAA